AGUGAACGCUGGCGGUAGGCCUAACACAUGCAAGUCGAACGGCAGCACAGUAAGAGCUUGCUCUUACGGGUGGCGAGUGGCGGACGGGUGAGGAAUACAUCGGAAUCUACUUUUUCGUGGGGGAUAACGUAGGGAAACUUACGCUAAUACCGCAUACGACCUACGGGUGAAAUCAGGGGAUCUUCGGACCUUGCGCGAUUGAAUGAGCCGAUGCCGGAUUAGCUAGUUGGCGGGGUAAAGGCCCACCAAGGCGACGAUCCGUAGCUGGUCUGAGAGGAUGAUCAGCCACACUGGAACUGAGACACGGUCCAGACUCCUACGGGAGGCAGCAGUGGGGAAUAUUGGACAAUGGGCGAAAGCCUGAUCCAGCCAUACCGCGUGGGUGAAGAAGGCCUUCGGGUUGUAAAGCCCUUUUGUUGGGAAAGAAAAGCAGCAGGUUAAUACCCCGCUGUUCUGACGGUACCCAAAGAAUAAGCACCGGCUAACUUCGUG
This 492-nucleotide ribosomal RNA is filed under the name uncultured bacterium. Its description in RNAcentral is "partial 16S ribosomal RNA". It matches the Rfam family "Bacterial small subunit ribosomal RNA", at positions 29 to 507 of the family's 1533-position model. The record is from RNAcentral.